AUUGAACGCUGGCGGCAUGCCUUACACAUGCCGGUCGAACGGUAACGGGCCUUCGGGUGCCGACGAGUGGCGCACGGGUGAGUAAUACAUCGGAACGUGCCCGAUCGUGGGGGAUAACGAGGCGAAAGCUUUGCUAAUACCGCAUACGAUCUACGGAUGAAAGCAGGGGACCGCAAGGCCUUGCGCGGACGGAGCGGCCGAUGGCAGAUUAGGUAGUUGGUGGGAUAAAAGCUUACCAAGCCGACGAUCUGUAGCUGGUCUGAGAGGAUGAUCAGCCACACUGGGACUGAGACACGGCCCAGACUCCUACGGGAGGCAGCAGUGGGGAAUUUUGGACAAUGGGCGCAAGCCUGAUCCAGCCAUGCCGCGUGCAGGAUGAAGGCCUUCGGGUUGUAAACUGCUUUUGUACGGAACGAAAAGCCUUCUUUUAAUACAGGAGGGUCAUGACGGUACCGUAAGAAUAAGCACCGGCUAACUACGUG
RNAcentral lists this ribosomal RNA (482 nucleotides) under uncultured bacterium. RNAcentral's name for it is "partial 16S ribosomal RNA". It matches the Rfam family "Bacterial small subunit ribosomal RNA", at positions 30 to 507 of the family's 1533-position model. The record is from RNAcentral.